AGAGUUUGAUCAUGGCUCAGGACGAACGCUGGCGGCGUGCCUAAUACAUGCAAGUCGAGCGGACUUUGCCUUCGGGUAAGGUUAGCGGCGGACGGGUGAGUAACACGUAGGCAACCUGCCUGUAAGACCGGGAUAACAUUCGGAAACGAAUGCUAAUACCGGAUAUGCAACUUAGCUGCAUGGCUGAGUUGGGAAAGACG
This 200-nucleotide ribosomal RNA is filed under the name uncultured bacterium. RNAcentral describes it as "partial 16S ribosomal RNA". It matches the Rfam family "Bacterial small subunit ribosomal RNA", at positions 8 to 210 of the family's 1533-position model. The record is from RNAcentral.